GUGAGGUAAAGGCUCACCAAGGCGACGAUCCGUAGCUGGUCUGAGAGGAUGAUCAGCCACAUCGGGACUGAGACACGGCCCGAACUCCUACGGGAGGCAGCAGUGGGGAAUAUUGGACAAUGGGGGCAACCCUGAUCCAGCCAUGCCGCGUGUGUGAAGAAGGCCUUCGGGUUGUAAAGCACUUUCAGUGAGGAAGAAGGCCUUGGGCUUAAUACGCUCGAGGAAGGACAUCACUCACAGAAGAAGCACCGGCUAACUCCGUGCCAGCAGCCGCGGUAAUACGGAGGGUGCGAGCGUUAAUCGGAAUUACUGGGCGUAAAGCGCGCGUAGGUGGCGUGAUAAGCCGGUUGUGA
Molecule: ribosomal RNA, 353 nt
Filed under: uncultured Halomonas sp.
Lineage: Bacteria; Pseudomonadati; Pseudomonadota; Gammaproteobacteria; Oceanospirillales; Halomonadaceae
Description: bacterial SSU rRNA
Rfam family: Bacterial small subunit ribosomal RNA
Source: RNAcentral